AAAAUGCCGUCUGUAGUCCAUUCUCAUACUACAUUUUAGUUCUAUGAUAGAAACUGACCACCUACACACGUGCAUUACUCGUGUAUUAUUUGUAUGAGGAUAUAGGACUGUGUUUGUGUGCAAAAUCGAGAGAACUGUCAAAAACAGCGGAUAAUGAUGCAAAAAAUUCAGUUUGGUGGAAUAUAUAAUGAAGGAUACUACAGCGUGGCAUUGAUGCAAUUACAUCUGUAAAAGAGGACCUAAUGGUCGUGCGAAGGAUGACUUCUGAAAUUUUUCUGGGAAAUGGUGGAACUCUACAUCGUUCCUUGAUGUUUAUAUUGAAACUUGGCUGGCAGUCAAGAUUUCGUUUGCCAGUACUUCUGGUCAUUGUCUUUGUCGCCAUGGAUUACAGAUUACAAUUAGAGAUAGAAUUUGGAGACAAUGCAGAUCAACAUAAUCAUUUAUAAUUUGAACAGAGAAAAACAGAUAGAUAAUAAUUUGACAUAAGACUGUUACUUUAUAUACUUAACAUAUGCAUAUAAUGCAAAAGGUUUAGUGGAAAGUAUAAAAUAUGAACUGUAUUAUUUACACACUAUCAUGAAUGUAAUACAUAUAUGAACUGUUGACAAAUAUUAACAAUUGUAUCAUACAUAUUUUAUAUGUGCAUGUCUACUCAUAUAUGGAAUUUUUUGCUCAGUACUUGCCAAUUUGCAACGCUUGUACUUUUGCUAGACUGUCAUUGCAUUUGUCAUAUCAGAAUUUAAGAAUUUUGCGUUUUAUUGUAAUAUAUUUAUAUCGAAUACAUAUAUGCUAUUUAAGUUAAGUUUAUGAUUUCAUUAUAAAAAUAAAUAGUAAUAAGGGGGCGGAUUUAGUUUACUUGUUUCGUGCAAGGCUGUAAGAUAAAUUGUUUCUAAGAUGUAAGAUUUGACAUAAAUAUCAAUAAUUUUCACAAAAAAUUAUAUAUUUUGCCCUAAAAUAAGGCAAUUAUUUAUUUUGUAAUUAAUUUUUGUAAAUUGUAUAAUGUAACAUGGAAGUUGUGUUAUGAAUAAAUAAACAAGAAACCAUUUAUUUUAUAUUAA
This is a long non-coding RNA of Formica exsecta, 1058 nucleotides long. RefSeq lists it as uncharacterized. NCBI's taxonomy places the organism in Eukaryota, Metazoa, Arthropoda, Insecta, Hymenoptera, Formicidae. The transcript has 2 exons. The record is from RefSeq and is a predicted model, not a curated record.